GACGAACGCUGGCGGCGUGCUUAACACAUGCAAGUCGAACGGGAAGGCCCUGCUUUUUUGGGGACCUCGAGUUGCGAACUGGUGAGUAACACUUGAGUAACCUGUCCUUCACUUUGGGAUAUCUUCAUGAAACUUGGGCUAAUACGGCAUAGGAUUUCCCGCUGCUGGGUGGGGGUUGGAUAGUUUCGGUGGUUGGGGAUGGACUCGCCGCCUAUCAGCUUGUUGGUGUGGUAGUGGGUGACCAAGGCUUUGCCGGCUAGCAGUCAUGGGAGGAUCAGCGGAGAAAUUGGGACUGAGAUACGGCACAGCCUCGUACGGUACGCAGCAGUGGGGAAUAUUGUACAGUGGGCGGAAGCCUGAUGCAGUAAAGCAGCGUGCGGGAUGACGGCCUUCGGGUUGUAAACCGCUUUCGCCUGUGACGAAGCGUGAGUGACGGUAAUGGGUAAAGAAGCACCGGCUAACUACGUG
RNAcentral lists this ribosomal RNA (468 nucleotides) under uncultured bacterium. Its description in RNAcentral is "partial 16S ribosomal RNA". It matches the Rfam family "Bacterial small subunit ribosomal RNA", at positions 28 to 507 of the family's 1533-position model. The record is from RNAcentral.